AUACGGAGGAUCCGAGCGUUAUCCGGAUUUAUUGGGUUUAAAGGGUGCGCAGGCGGCCAUUUAAGUCAGCGGUUAAAUCGUGGGGCUCAACCCCAUUCUGCCGUUGAUACUGGGUGGCUUGAUUGCGGUCGAGGUUGGCGGAAUUCGUUGUGUAGCGGUGAAAUGCAUAGAUAUGACGAAGAACACCGAUUGCGUAGGCAGCUGACCAGACCGCAAAUGACGCUCAUGCACGAAAGUGCGGGGAUCGAAUAGGAUUAGAUACCCUGGUAGUCCGCACAGUAAACGAUGAAUACUUGUUUUCGGCGAUAUAAUGUCGGAGGCAAAGCGAAAGCGAUAAGUAUUCCACCUGGGGAGUACGCCGGCAACGGUGAAACUCAAAGGAAUUGACGGGG
RNAcentral lists this ribosomal RNA (392 nucleotides) under uncultured bacterium. RNAcentral's name for it is "partial 16S ribosomal RNA". It matches the Rfam family "Bacterial small subunit ribosomal RNA", at positions 523 to 918 of the family's 1533-position model. The record is from RNAcentral.